GAUGAACGCUGGCGGCGUGCCUAAUACAUGCAAGUCGAGCGAACGGACGAGAAGCUUGCUUCUCUGAUAUUAGCGGCGGACGGGUGAGUAACACGUGGAUAACCUACCUAUAAGACUGGGAUAACUUCGGGAAACCGGAGCUAAUACCGGAUAAUAUUUUGAACCGCAUGGUUCAAAAGUGAAAGACGGUCUUGCUGUCACUUAUAGAUGGAUCCGCGCUGCAUUAGAUAGUUGGUAAGGUAACGGCUUACCAAGGCAACGAUGCAUAGCCGACCUGAGAGGGUGAUCGGCCACACUGGAACUGAGACACGGUCCAGACUCCUACGGGAGGCAGCAGUAGGGAAUCUUCCGCAAUGGGCGAAAGCCUGACGGAGCUACGCCGCGUGAGUGAUGAAGGUCUUCGGAUCGUAAAACUCUGUUAUUAGGGAAGAACAUAUGUGUAAGUAACUGUGCACAUCUUGACGGUACCUAAUCAGAAAGCCACGGCUAACUACGUG
This 497-nucleotide ribosomal RNA is filed under the name uncultured bacterium. Its description in RNAcentral is "partial 16S ribosomal RNA". It matches the Rfam family "Bacterial small subunit ribosomal RNA", at positions 28 to 507 of the family's 1533-position model. The record is from RNAcentral.